Molecule: long non-coding RNA, 9071 nt
Filed under: Lynx pardinus (Iberian lynx)
Lineage: Eukaryota; Metazoa; Chordata; Mammalia; Carnivora; Felidae
Source: RNAcentral
GGAAUAUGCUGUGCUGUUAUUUGUAGAAUAUUUAAAGGAUGGGAUGGAAUUAGAGGAAGCGCAGAAAACUGAUAAGGGAAUUAAGCUCUUGGCUCCAGUGACUCACUGGGCUUUUGUGUGACUAAAUCAUUGUUCUUUCGCAUGUGACCCCAAUCUCUCACUCUCAAGGGCUGUCAGUGGAGGCCUAUUUCCCCUCCCUCCUGUUCCCUCCUGUUCCCUCCUGUUCCCUCCUGCUCCCUCCUGCUCCCUUCUGCUCACUAACCCGCCUCUUACCCUGUACUCCGUGGAGUGUCUCUUACUGGCUGAAGUGAGACAUCAGAGAGAGCACUCAGUUGUCCCACGCUUCUCCAGACCCAGUUUCUUGAGUCUCAGAGGCUCCUGCAAUGACAGCAUGAUGGUUCUGAGCCCGGGAUUUGGAGAGAGACACGGCCUGGUUUGGAUUUGGGCUUUAGACAAGUGACAACCUCUGUGAAUCUCAAUUCCUUAUUUGAGGACUAAACAAUGAAAUGAGCAAAAUCAAAGAAAGCACUUAGCACCGUUCCUAUACUUAAUAUAGUAUUUUUUAAAAAGUCUUGUUGCAUCAUUUUUUUGUGGCUGAGUCCCAGUGAGCUCAGGAUUCCAGAUUCCAAGUUCAGCUCCAUGUUCAACUACCUCAGGGGGUCGGAAUCUGAGUUUUGGCAAAACGGAGGGCUGAUAAGAUCUCACAUGCCUUUUAAAGGUAUUUUGAAGAUUCACUAGUACUGUCAAAUCAUGUAAAACCCAAGGAUGAAAAGACUGUACCGAAGUAUAAGGCAUUAGCAUAAAGAUGUGCACUGCAUCUUGCCAUAUUUAUCGGGGAAGUUUGUUGCUAUUGGCAACCUUGACUUCAAGGUAAGAAAUCCUUGAGCAACUGCUGAAAUUAAAAGAGGCAUUUUUGUUUGGGCUGUACUCGCAAAUUGAUUUGGAAGAAGAAAAUAACUCCAAAAGAGUGACACUUAAGCUUGUGAGGAUGGUGGUGUUCCGUAAUGGGAUUUGGGUGGAAGUUCUUAAAGGGAGUCAUCCAGUAGACACUGCAACUCUCAAGCAAUUUAUGGUUAAGUGUACCUGGAACCUGGUUGCCCUCACUUACAUUCUAAAUGGGAAUUGUUUUCAGCAUGGUUGACUCAAAAAGGAAAAACUAGCUCGUAACACAGACCCAGGCCUGGCCUCUCUGGAAAUUCGUUGCACCCUGUGGCUGCCAACGUUUAUCCAACAGUAAAGAACAAAAUUAGAGUCACAGACCCAGCAAUAGCACUACUAAGAAUUUAUCCAAGGGAUACAGGAGUGCUGAUGCAUAGGGGCACAUGCACCCCACUGUUUAUAGCAGCGCUUUCAACAAUAGCCAAAUCAUGGAAAGAGCCCAAAUGUCCAUCAACUGAUGAAUGGAUAAAGAAGAUGUGGUUUAUAUAUACAAUGGAAUACUACUUGGCAAUGAUAAAGAAUGAAAUCCUGCCAUUUGCGGCAACAUGGAUGGAACUGGAGGGUAUUAUGCUGAGUGAAAUAAGUCAGUCAGAGAAGGACAGAUAUCAUAUGUUUUCACUCAUCUGUGGAACUUGAGAAGCUUAACAGAAGACCAUGGGAGAGGGAUGGGAAAAAUAGUUACAAAUAGAGAGGGAGGGAGGCAAACCAUAAGAGACUCUUAAAUACAGAGAACAAACUGAGGGUUGAUGGGGGGGGCGUGCAGGGAGAGGGGAAAUGGGUGAUGGGCACUGAGGAGGGCACUUGUUGGGAUGAGCACUGGGUGUUGUAUGUAAGCGAUGAAUCGUGGGAAUCCACCCCCAAAACCGAGAGCACACUGUAGACACUGUAUGUUAGCCAAAAAAACCUAAGAGUCACAGAAUCAUGGAACCCAAGGUUAUCAUGGGAAGGGGCUCAGCAUCCACCCCCAUGUCUUCAUGUUAUAGGAAAACAGGGUUUAACUGCCAGCCCUUGAAGCUUCCUGCUGUGAGCCAAGCCUUCUGCUCCAGCUGGCUGCUGGGGAGAGACAGGAGGCAGGAGAAUUGCCAGGCAGGCUGGUCAUGCCCUCACCUGUGCUGUCAGAAAAAAUGUAUCCCCUGAUGUUCUAUAAAGCAAUAGUUUUCAAACUUUGAUCGAACUCCCAGAACCUCUUUAGUACCAAACCAACGGCGACGGAACUGCUGUGUUUGGAGCAGCGGUAGGAACCCGGUCUUCAUUUUAGUGCCCAUGGCUGGCCCCUCUUUUAAUCAGUCCCUGAAUCCCAAGGAAUACAGUUGCCCAGAGGCCCCAGGUUAUCACAUGUGCGCCAGUGCAGGUUACUCUUAGGUUAAUUCUUGUCCAUCCCUUUUCUUCCCUCUGCAGGGUGAAGAAAGGAGGUAUGUACCAGGCCUAUUCUCUUUGUUUGUGGCUCUCACUAUUGUUGAUUUUUGCUUGCUCUGUUGUACUAAAUAAAAGGGUUCCAACCUGGCAGAGAAUCAGGGUGCAGUUCUGUCUUGGUGAGUUUUCAGCCACAUCAUCUGUGGGUGAAAGAAACAGAGGUCAGAAGUAGCUGCAGAAAGGGAAGGGCGGGGUGCAUGGUGCCAUCAGUGUGUCAGAUCUCUCCUGUCAUUUUAUUUUUUAUUUUUUAAAUUUUUAUGUAUUUUGAGAGAGAGAGAGAGCGAGCACGCAAGCAGGGGAGGAGCAGAGAGAGAGAGAGGGAGAGACAGAAUCCGAAGCAGGUUCUGUGCUGUCAGCUCAGACUCCAACACAGGGCUCCAUCUUGUGAACUGUAAGAUCAUGACCUGAGCCGAGACUAAGAGUCAGAUGCUUAACCGACCAAGACACCCAAGCAUCCCUCAGAUCUCUCAUUUUAGUCCUGCCUGUUCCCUACCCAGAGUUGCCUCCACUCAGCUGAACUUCAGCACCUAAAGGUCUGUUCCCCUCCAGCGGGACAGGAGUGAAUUGUCUGUGAGUUAAACACAGCGUCUACUGUGCUGCUGCACGUGGAUGCGUGUGGCUCCUCUUGAGGACAGCCGAUGCUCUGUAUUGGACAGAUGCCUCUUUUUCAAGAACAAAUGACACUUUAUGCUCAGACUGUAAUGGAUUUGGUCAUUUCCACAAGUUAUUUGGAUCAGGCUUGUCAGAAAGGGGGGCUGGGUGCAGUCGGAUGGGCAGGGAGAGCUGGGACUUUGGAUGAGUUGAGCGAGGUCCAUCUGGAUAACUCCAAGCCUGAGGGGAUGUCCGCACCCAGCCCCGAAAGUUGCUGCCUCAAGGGGAAUCCAGGCUAUGGGAAGAGACAGGACAGAGAACUGGAAAGUGUGUAUGUUGUUGUUGUUGUUUUAGAGAAAGAGGGAAAGGGGGGAGAGAAAGACUCUGAAGCAGGCUCAAUGCAGGGCUCGAUCCCACAACCCUGAGAUCAUGACCUGAGCUGAAAUCAAGAGUCGGAUGCUUAACCAACUGAGCCACCCAGGCACCCCAGGAAAGUGGAUUUUUAAAAAAAGAUUGCUUUAAUCACUCACCCCAUAGGCAGGCGCCUCUGACAAGCACAAGGCAUGUCUAAGCAGGGUUAGAAAUCUGAUUAUAAUGGUUAUUGAUCAUAUCAAAUGAAAUGAUUUUAAUGAGAUCUUCACAAACUGUCACCCACCACCCUAGCUACUUUUUUUUUAAAGGGCAUAGAGAAUGGAUGCAAAGAAUCCCCACAUUAUGGACAAAUGUAUCAACCAGAUCUUUCUGAUCUUUCAUUAAAAGGCUAAUUUCCCAGGUCCAGGAAUAGCAAUAAGUAGGAAAAGAGUAAAAUCGUUUUGAAAAUUCUGUGUAUUAUUAUUGUUGUGUGUGUGUGUGUGUGUGUGUGUGAGUGUGUAUUUUUCUGAGAAGGUAGAAAGCUGUCAAUAAACAUGUCUACAGAGAACUAGCUCCUUGUCAUGUCUGCAAUACUAAGUUCAAAGCCUGUUUAAGAGAAAUCCCAUUGUGGAGGUAGAAUUUUAAGGUCAAUUUAGUGUCCAAGAAGCUUCACUUCUGUCUGUUCUAUUCCCUGCAGAAAUGAAGAAUACAAAGAGAGGGGUUUUGGUGGUAAGUGUGCUGGCCAUGGGGCAACAGGCUUGGGUGAUGUGUGGUGGGGCACUCCUGUCCCCUCUCAGGCAGACCCUGCCACAGCCCCACGGGGGUGGGGUGGGGGGAGGUGGUAUUUAUCAUUCAGGGAGACGCUUGCACUUGGCCACUGGAACAGAUUGCUGUGUGACGAGCUCCUGAUAGAAUUUGUUCCCUCCACUGAACAUGUCUGCUGAUAUAUUUGCAGAAGAACUGGAUUUCAUAAAUAUGGAAUAGUGGUGUUUAUUAUCUACACCAGCUCUCUGGGAGACUGAGCUGGGGGAGAAGAGCUGAAGACCACAACUGGAACUUCAGCCUUCAGUGGGAUUUAUUUUUUCCUUGCUGUUCCACAACCUUGAGGAAAAGUGAUGGAGACAGAACAUUGCUUGGGCCAGGGGUCGGCUCUGCACACUUGUCUGUGUGAUCUUGCAGACUCCCGUGGCCUCUUUAAGCUUUAAAUUCCUCAUCUGUAAAAUGGGAGCAACACCUGCCCUGAGCUUGCAGGUGGGGAAAUAUUUUGAAAGUUGUUAGAGUCACAUAAAUGCAAAGUGAUACAAGAUAGUUGGAGAGUCUCCCCCCACCCUUACCUCCUUGUUUUUCUUUCUUUCUUUCUUUCUUUCUUUCUUUCUUUCUUUCUUUCUUUCUUUCUUUCUUUCCUUCCUUCCUUCCUUCCUUCCUUCCUUCCUUCCUUCCUUCCUUCUUUCUUUCUUUCUUUAUUACUAAAAUUUUUUUAAAUUUAUUUUUAAUUAAAAAGAUUUUUAAUGUUUAUUUUUGAGAGAGAGAGAGAGAGCGUGAACAGGGUAAGGGCAGAGACAGAGGGAGACUUGGAAUCCGAAGAGGGAGACAUGGAAUCUGUGCUGAGCUGUCAGCACAGAGCCCGAUGUGGGGCUUGAACCCAUGAACCGUGAGAUCAUAACCUGAGCUGAAGUUGGAUACUUAACCAACUGAGCCACACAGGCGCUCCUAUUUUUUUUUUUUUAAGAUUUUUAAUUUAUUUUGAGAGAGAGAGAGAGAGAGAGAGAGAGAGAAUAUUCCAAGCAGGCUCCACACCAGCAGUGCUGAACCCGAUGUGGGGCUCCAGCCCACAAACUGCAAGAUCAUGACCUGAGCUGAAAUCGAGAGUCGGAUGCUUAACCGACUGAGCCACCCAGGUGCCCCCCUCCUUGUUUUUCUUUACUAAACCUGAUCUGCCCACUGAGAAGUGACAGAACUUGAAGGUGACUCCCCAAGUCUCCCUCAGCCCCUGAUAAUAAGAUUUUGUUGUGAUCCCGGACCCAUACAUUUGGGGGAUGACAUGCAAAACGAAGAAGACAGUCCAGGGCACCAGAAUCUUUGCCUCAGGUCCAUCACCUAAGUGUUUACAUGUAUGGGCCUGUCUACGAGUGUGAGAAAGAGCUGAUCUCUUAUCUCCUUAGCCUCAUUGUCUAAGGCAAUACCCCUGGUGAUGCCACUCAGAGAGCACCUUAGAAAUAUGUAACAUUAAAUCAAUCAAUUAAAUAAGUAGUCCCCAUGACCAUAGAAGUGCAGCUGCUGAAUUGUUUGAAUGGAUAAAACCCAGAUGGUCUCCACUUCCUCUGUUUUUGGAGUGGAGUAGCCAUGGGCCAGUGUGCAGAUGAUGGCCUGUGUGAUGCAAACUGGUGCUGGAAAGGCCACGAGACUCUGAACACAGUCCUCAUCAGCGUGCUAAAGAAGGGGAUCACUGGAGGGCACCUUGGGAGGGAAGGGGGUGUUUCCGUGCCGACAGAGGUCAGGUCCUGGAGGGAGGCACAGAGAACAGGGGAAGAAAGAGAUAAGGAGCACAAGGCCUCGGUAAGGGGGGCACGCCCAGUGGCAACAUUGUAUCAGCCGAGGAAAGGGGUCGCAGUCAUAGCCCAACUCUGGGAGCACAUGAGUGCUCUCCUGUGCCCACCUUGCCCAUCUGCCUGACAGAUCCCGCUCAGCCAAAGUAGAUCUCAGCCAGGGUUGUAUGGCAUCUCUGCUCCACUUUCCAUGAAGCUGCAGCCUAUCAUUCACUCAGGGCAGGAUGAAUGUCCUCCCGCCCUCCUGGGCCCCCAGGGUGUGCCAUAUUCCCACUCAUGACCUUAUCACUCUAUAUCAUCCACCUGUUGUCAAUGGCGCCCACUGAUUGCAAGCGUUGUGCAGGCAGUAACCACACCCGUCGUGUUCCCUGCUGCAUCCUCGGCCUUUAGCACAGCGCCUAUCAAAUAGACUAGUGUCAAGAAGGCCCUGGGUAAGGUACGCGGGCUGUGAAGAUGAGUGGCCUGGCCCCAGGGGGAGGAGUGUAGGGUUGUGCUUGAAGCUGUCUCUUUCUUCUCCAUAGGAAACGAUCCAGAUGAACUCUGUCUUUGAUGGAGAAGCCAUCGACCCAGGUAAUUAACUGGCAAUGCCAUCCGAAAGGUGUUUUUCACAUUCCAGGUUGGUGGAGUCAUGGUGGACCCCAUCCAAUCUCCUGCCCUCAACUCAGUUGGUCCAUCAUUCGGUUAUGUCGCCUGACCUUUCCCGCUGCAACACAGCGUGAGAUCACCUCUGAGCAGAGCUGGCUGGCACACGCUCCAGCACAUGACCAUGUGUGAGGCCUCAGAGGAUUUCCACCUGACGCCUCCUGCCCUCUCUCGCCUCCCUUCCCAAAUCACAAACCAAUUCAGCGGACUGAAUUCUGCCUGCUCUUUGGAGCUCAACCACCUCCCCGGUCCUUUCUGAAUGCUCCUCACACCAUCCUAUUGGUAGUGAGAGAUAGGGAGAAAUGGCAGGCUUGGCUCCUUUUCCCCCUAGAUCAGGGCCAAGAAUUUCUUCUUGGUCGGCAAGAUGAACAUAAGGUAAAGCUGGCCUCCAGAGCUCCCGUCACCCCCAUGAAAUCAGCUCCAAAUUUAGCUCCUUUACACACAUCCCUCCACUUACAAAGGCUCAAUUAUAGAUGUGAAUAAAGGGAAGGAAACCAAACUCGGGAGGCAAGCGUGCUGGCUCCCUGCCACCCUCACAUGCGAGCGGCUCGGUCCUUCUUGGAAGGAUGGCUCCUCUCCAGGAGAGGCUGCUGCUGCUGCUGGAAUUAAAUUUCCCUCUAUUAUUAGGUACUUGUUACCAUAAUGUGCCCACAUUAGCAUAAGUGCUGGUGGGAUCCCCUGCCGAGAGGCCACUCUUGCCGCAGGGAAAUGGCAAGAGCCGGGGAUCGCCUGAAACUCCAGCUUCUGGGGCAAAAGCCAGGGAGGACCAAGGCUGUUACCUACAUUUGUGGGUUGACGGAAGAAAAAAAAAAAAGGCGGGGGCGGGGUGGGGGGGAUGAGCAAAUUGAACUAAUGUGAAUAAACACACCAAUUAGUGUCUGCCACGCUGACACAAUAAAAAUGGCUCCCUUGCACCAUCUCAACAGAGGCCAGACUCAGUGUCCGCAUCUACCAAUCUCUGCUAACCUAACAUAGAUAAAAAAGCCCUUUCCUCCUUAUGUGGUGACUUCCUUUCUCUAUCUGGGAUUCCGGGGGCUCUCAAAACAAACCCUUCAGAACAUGACGGGUAACCCCAUUAAAAACGGAACUGAAUUUAUCCAGAACUGACACGGAAUUCAAGAUUUAUGUGGCUUUCUAAUCUCACAACCGAGAGCCUGUCCUGAGCCUCCUCACCCAGGGAGGCAUGAUAUUUGCUACCUGUGGGGUUGGAGCCCUGUAGCUCGUGGAAAGGGCGGGCUGGCAAAGUUUGUGCCCUGAUUCACACCUCCUAGUGCCUUUCAGCUUUCCCUCGGGGUAAGAACUGAGCGGGCUGGAGAUGGAGGAAGAGAGCAUCCUGAAUUCCCUCGUUUAUAUGGUGGUUGCGUAUUUUUUUCCCUCUAGUUACUGGGGCAGUAUAUGAAUUCAACUCAAAAACUGGAACCAGAAAGUGGAAAGAUCCCUCAACCCAAAUGCCAAGAUGGCAAGAGCCCAGCCCCCACGGAGCUGCUCCAAGUAGACCUGUCGCAGGGGAAGGGGCCGGGCCACCCGGGAGCACUGGCGAGCAAGAUGGGCUGAGUGGCAAAGCACAGGUUGAGGAUGCAAGCCCCAGUUCCAGAAACCAGGAUGGCAAGCUCGGCACCCCCAAGAGCAGAAACACAGCCCUCAUGAGCAGGGCUUCCCCCAAACUGCACCCAGGAAAGUAAUGGGUACCUGGUUGUGGGGCCCACAGUGCAGCACAGCGAAGGGACCUUGAUGGCCCUGGGAUGCUGCUUCUCCCUAAAUUCCAUAAGGGCAGGUGUGGGAGUGCCUUAGGGGUGAAAACAUGGUCUGAAGGGACUGGGAGAUCCAGGGUCCCAAAUGGAAUGUUUAAAACAGAGAGGGGCGGGGCGCCCGGGUGGCUCAGUCGGUUAAGCACCCGACUUCGGCUCAGGUCACGAUCUCACAGUUCAUGGGUUUGAGCCCCACGUCGAGCUCUGUGCUGACAGCUCAGAGCCUGGAGCCUGCUUCUGAUUCUGUGUCUCCUUCUCUCUUUGCCCACCCCCAGUCACACUCCGUCUCUCUGUCUCAAAAAUAAAUAAACAUUAAAAAAAUUUUUAAACAGACAGGGGCUUGAUUAUCUAGUUGCCUGUUUCUGAGACAGCACAGGUGAAAUUUCUCUCGGGUCUCUGUCCUCUGAUCAGAUGAACCGUUUUAGCUAUUGGAGGAGGAACCGUGUUUCUUCUUCGUGGUGACUACUGGGAAGCUUCAUUCGGUUCACCCCCUAGGAAGUGCUUAGGACUUCCGACAUGAAUGCUGAGGGCUCCCCUCACACCUGGUUUCAUCUCGAUUACCUGCCCUUUGUGUAGUAUCACUCAGAUUGCCUCCCUGAUAAAUACACUCAAAGCCACACGCCUUUAUAGUCACCUCCGAUCUUUUUUGAAAGAAGCAGGCCAGAGGGAAAAAAAAAUGGAUGAAUAUAUAAUGAGUUAUUCAUCCAGGAAGAAGAACACACAACGCACACCUUUUUUUAUUCUUCUUUUUUUAUGGAGGUGUAACUUAUAUUCAAUAAAGUGCACAGAUCUAAGGUAUUCCACUCAUAAUAGUCUCCCCUCAGAGAUAACCGCUAUUCUG